This 25-nucleotide ribosomal RNA is filed under the name Sorghum bicolor (sorghum). The record is from RNAcentral. Lineage: Eukaryota; Viridiplantae; Streptophyta; Magnoliopsida; Poales; Poaceae. RNAcentral also lists the same sequence under 1 other name.
UGGGAAGUCCUCGUGUUGCAUUCCU